RNAcentral lists this unclassified non-coding RNA (292 nucleotides) under uncultured Cortinarius. RNAcentral's name for it is "sequence contains ITS2". The stretch from base 1 to 52 matches the Rfam family "5.8S ribosomal RNA", at positions 103 to 154 of the family's 154-position model. Lineage: Eukaryota; Fungi; Basidiomycota; Agaricomycetes; Agaricales; Cortinariaceae. The record is from RNAcentral.
AACGCACCUUGCGCUCCUUGGUAUUCCGAGGAGCAUGCCUGUUUGAGUGUCAUUAAUAUAUCAACCUCUUCAGCUUAUGCUUGUUGAGUGUUGGAUGGUGGGGGUUUGCUGGUGUCUUAUGAAGUCAGCUCCCCUGAAAUGCAUUAGCGGAACAAUUUGUUUGACCGUUCAUUGGUGUGAUAAAAUAUCUACGCUAUUGACGUCAGUCAGUUCAGCUUCUAACAGUCCAUUGACUUGAACAAAUUUUCAUUAAUGUGACCUCAAAUCAGGUAGGACUACCCGCUGAACUUAA